Triticum aestivum (bread wheat) is the source of this 393-nucleotide long non-coding RNA. RefSeq lists it as uncharacterized. The transcript is spliced from 3 exons. The record is from RefSeq and is a predicted model, not a curated record. NCBI's taxonomy places the organism in Eukaryota, Viridiplantae, Streptophyta, Magnoliopsida, Poales, Poaceae.
AGGGCAACACGCUGCAAGUGUUCGUCAAAUUGUUAGUAUCAAUGCCUCAAUUCUAACAGAGAAUUUUCCGUAGGAGCACAUAGCAUUAAUCAAGAAUCAACUCGGCAAUUUUUGGAUCAGACAAGAUUCAGGACCGUGCAUGCUUCUCACCUUAAUAGACACAUGACAUUAAUCAAGCAUAUUUGUGCAUGUUUCCACAAUAAGGUAUCAGUCAUCUGAAGACAUGCGGGUGAAAAUAUUUGGUGACCAAGCCGGGCUGCCUUUGUCGAUGACGAAGAGAAAUUUUUGGGCUGCCUCGAUUUGGGACAGUGAUGACGUCCGAGUUGGAUCUUGGGGAUGACAAAACCCCUACAUGCAUGCCAGUGGCAAAAGCGCCGCCAACUGAGUUAUCAU